UACGUAAGGACCGAGCGUUGUCCGGAAUCAUUGGGCGUAAAGGGUACGUAGGCGGUUAGAAAAGUUAGAAGUGAAAGGCUAUAGCUCAACUAUAGUAAGCUUUUAAAACUGUUUAACUUGAGUGAUGGAAGGGUAAGUGGAAUUCCUAGUGUAGCGGUGAAAUGCGCAGAUAUUAGGAGGAAUACCGGUGGCGAAAGCGACUUUCUGGCCAAUAACUGACACUGAGGUACGAAUGCGCGGGUAGCGAACGGG
This 252-nucleotide ribosomal RNA is filed under the name uncultured bacterium. RNAcentral's name for it is "partial 16S ribosomal RNA". It matches the Rfam family "Bacterial small subunit ribosomal RNA", at positions 524 to 776 of the family's 1533-position model. The record is from RNAcentral.